UACGUAGGGGGCAAGCGUUGUCCGGAUUUAUUGGGCGUAAAGCGUCCGCAGGCGGUCUAUCAAGUUCGGGGUGACAGUGCUCGGCUUAACCGAGUAAGUGCUUCGAAAACUGGUGGACUUGAGGGCUUCAGAGGAAAGCGGAAUUCCGGGUGGAGUGGUGAAAUGCGUAGAUAUCAGGAGGAAAACCUGUGGCGAAAGCGGCUCACUGGACAAAAACUGACGCUGAGGCGCGAAAGAUAGGGGAGCAAACAGG
RNAcentral lists this ribosomal RNA (253 nucleotides) under uncultured bacterium. Its description in RNAcentral is "partial 16S ribosomal RNA". It matches the Rfam family "Bacterial small subunit ribosomal RNA", at positions 524 to 776 of the family's 1533-position model. The record is from RNAcentral.